AACGAACGCUGGCGGCAUGCCUAACACAUGCAAGUCGAACGAGACCUUCGGGUCUAGUGGCGCACGGGUGCGUAACGCGUGGGAACCUGCCUUUAGGUUCGGAAUAACUCAGAGAAAUUUGAGCUAAUACCGGAUAAUGUCUUCGGACCAAAGAUUUAUCGCCUUUAGAUGGGCCGCGUAAGAUUAGCUAGUUGGUGGGGUAAAGGCCUACCAAGGCGACGAUCUUUAGCUGGUCUGAGAGGAUGAUCAGCCACACUGGGACUGAGACACGG
RNAcentral lists this ribosomal RNA (272 nucleotides) under uncultured bacterium. RNAcentral's name for it is "partial 16S ribosomal RNA". It matches the Rfam family "Bacterial small subunit ribosomal RNA", at positions 29 to 329 of the family's 1533-position model. The record is from RNAcentral.